CCAGUAUCACCCAGAGAAGAAUGGCUUCCCUUUUGAGCCUGACUCCACUCAAGGUUUCUUAAGAGCCGUCUCAGUGAGCUUCUUGAGCCCGAGGACAUUCUCUUCCCAGCAGGCACCUAUUUGAUCUCAGCUAUUAAAGGCAAGAUGACAGAGAUUCUACAAGGCCAACAAUAAGAGACAGUUACAGGCACAGGGGUUGCUGCGGAAUAAUAGCUGUAGCUUUGUGCAUCUCUCUCUCUCUCUCUCUCUCUCUCUCUCUCUCCCCCUAUCUCUCUGUCUGUGUUUCAUUUUUUUAGGAGCAGGCAUGCACUUGAAGUAUGAAGAUCACACACCAGCUGGGUGCAUACUGUCAACUACUGUAUUAAAGUGUGAAGCCAAACAAGUGUACUCAGCUAGGGAAGGAGACGUGAAUGUGAAAGCUGACCACUGGGUGAGUGAGGAAGUGGCAAUCGUAGUCAGGCCUGGUACAAACCAGUAGUCUAUCUUAGUUAUUUGCCAGAUAGACUGGUCUGAGUAUUUUACGGAAAAAAAGAACUAGUAAGCAGCAGUUCUCCUCUCCAUUGACAAAGGGUUCAGAGGACAGCCUGACCAGAAUGUUUAAAGCGUACAGGAAGUUCAGAGUAUUACAGGUAUUUUUGCUACAUCAACAAAAAAUUCAAAAGGUUCUAAUGAGAAGAACGGAAUGAUGGAAUUUAAAUAAAUUAUAACAAUU
Clarias gariepinus (North African catfish) is the source of this 712-nucleotide long non-coding RNA. RefSeq lists it as uncharacterized. The transcript has 3 exons. NCBI's taxonomy places the organism in Eukaryota, Metazoa, Chordata, Actinopteri, Siluriformes, Clariidae. The record is from RefSeq and is a predicted model, not a curated record.